This 273-nucleotide long non-coding RNA is filed under the name Capsicum annuum. RNAcentral's name for it is "long non-coding RNA (CANN_LNC000458)". The record is from RNAcentral. Lineage: Eukaryota; Viridiplantae; Streptophyta; Magnoliopsida; Solanales; Solanaceae.
GCCAGUUACUAGUACUCGGAUCUGCAUCGGGAUAAAGAUGCAGAAGUGUAGCAUGAGUACUAAAGCAACGGGUACUCAGUAGACAUCAUCAGUCGACUGAGCUCAAUACAAGAAAAAUACAACUAAAAUAUAAGGAUAUUGAUAAUAGUAAACAAGGAUAGAAAGGUAAAUAACUAUCAAGCUAUGCUAAUGUGAAAAAGGAAUAAGUAUAAAUGAUAUAGAAAGAUAAAUAACGCAGUAAUAAAAGGCAAAUCAAACAUAACCUAACUGGGC